UAACCGUAGGUGAACCUGCGGUUGGAUCAUUAAUAAUUUUUUAUUAAUAUUGCUGACACGUGCGGAGCUCCGCGUAUGCGGGUUCCCGCGUGAAAGCAAAACCCAACUUGUGAACUGAAAUUGUCUCUGGUGGGCAUAACGGGAAGAUGAAGGGGGUUUCCCCGCGUAAUUUUCUUCCCACUAUUUUAUAAACUACAUGCCUUAUUUUUUUGUCUCAAACUUUUUUAUUAUCAUAAUAAAAAAACAACUUUUGACAACGGAUCUCUUGGCUCUCGUAUCGAUGAAGAACGCAGC
RNAcentral lists this unclassified non-coding RNA (294 nucleotides) under plant metagenome. Its description in RNAcentral is "partial contains small subunit ribosomal RNA, internal transcribed spacer 1, and 5.8S ribosomal RNA". The stretch from base 246 to 294 matches the Rfam family "5.8S ribosomal RNA", at positions 1 to 49 of the family's 154-position model. The record is from RNAcentral.